UACGUACCGUACGAACGUUAUUCGGAAUUACUGGGCUUAAAGGGUUUGUAGGCGGCCUUGUAAGUCAGGUGUGAAAUCCCUCGGCUCAACCGAGGAAUAGCGCUUGAUACUGCAAGGCUUGAGGGAGACAGGGGUAAGCGGAACUGAUGGUGGAGCGGUGAAAUGCGUUGAUAUCAUCAGGAACACCGGUGGCGAAAGCGGCUUACUGGGUCUCUUCUGACGCUGAGGAACGAAAGCUAGGGGAGCGAACGGG
Molecule: ribosomal RNA, 253 nt
Filed under: uncultured bacterium
Lineage: Bacteria
Description: partial 16S ribosomal RNA
Rfam family: Bacterial small subunit ribosomal RNA
Source: RNAcentral